This 468-nucleotide ribosomal RNA is filed under the name uncultured bacterium. RNAcentral's name for it is "partial 16S ribosomal RNA". It matches the Rfam family "Bacterial small subunit ribosomal RNA", at positions 28 to 507 of the family's 1533-position model. The record is from RNAcentral.
GACGAACGCUGGCGGCGUGCUUAACACAUGCAAGUCGAACGGAAAGGCCCUGCUUUUGUGGGGUGCUCGAGUGGCGAACGGGUGAGUAACACGUGUGUAACCUGCCCUUGACUUUGGGAUAACUUCAGGAAACUGGGGCUAAUACCGGAUAGGAGCUCCUGCUGCAUGGUGGGGGUUGGAAAGUUUCGGCGGUUGGGGAUGGACUCGCGGCUUAUCAGCUUGUUGGUGGGGUAGUGGCUUACCAAGGCUUUGACGGGUAGCCGGCCUGAGAGGGUGACCGGCGACAUUGGGACUGAGAUACGGCGCAGAAUCGUACGGGAGGCAGCAGUGGGGAAUAUUGCACAGUGGGCGGAAGCCUGAUGCAGCAACGCCGGGUGCGGGAUGACGGCCUUCGGGUGGUAAACCGCUUUGGCCUGUGACGAAGCGUGAGUGACGGUAAUGGGUAAAGAAGCACCGGCUAACUACGUG